UUUAUGGAGAGUUUGAUCCUGGCUCAGGAUGAACGCUGGCGGCGUGCCUAAUACAUGCAAGUCGAGCGAACAGAUGAGAAGCUUGCUUCUCUGAUGUUAGCGGCGGACGGGUGAGUAACACGUGGGUAACCUACCUAUAAGACUGGGAUAACUCCGGGAAACCGGGGCUAAUACCGGAUAAUAUUUUGAACCGCAUGGUUCGAUAGUGAAAGACGGUUUCGGCUGUCACUUAUAGAUGGACCCGCGCCGUAUU
RNAcentral lists this ribosomal RNA (253 nucleotides) under Mammaliicoccus sciuri. RNAcentral's name for it is "partial 16S ribosomal RNA". It matches the Rfam family "Bacterial small subunit ribosomal RNA", at positions 1 to 242 of the family's 1533-position model. Lineage: Bacteria; Bacillati; Bacillota; Bacilli; Caryophanales; Staphylococcaceae. The record is from RNAcentral.